UUCUAAAAUCCUGUUCAUUUGGACUACACACGUGGACACUCUCUUUGCACAGGUACUUUUCUAUUUUUCCCACAUUUUUUCCUUCUUCUCUUUUUUCUUCUCUUUUUUCACAAACCCUAUCCCCCUUUUCACUCAAUGAUAAUCUCUCCCAAUCAAAGCUGCAGACUCAACUUUUCUGAUUGCUUGCAACUAUGGUUUUGUAAAUUUCAAUACAAACCCUAUCUCUCUUUAGUGUCCUUCAUAAAGUUAAACCAACUUCUUCUUCAUUUCUUUCAUCUCUCUCUCUCAUCUUCUCUCUCUCUCUCGAAAGUCUUUUUUUUUUCUUUUCCUAGCAAAGUUUUCAUUUCUUCCUUUCUCCUCCUCCCUCAUGGCAAGACCGUUCGAGCGCGUUGCCGACAUCAACCACGGUAAGGAUUUGUGGAAGGUGGCGGUUCGAGUUGAGCAUAAAUGGAGUGUUGUUUCCAACAAGAAAGCACACUUUGAAAUGAUUUUCAUUGACAAGGAUAAAGUAUGGAAUCCGAAUUCGAGCGGAUCAACGAUUUAGUUACUUCAAAUAAUUAGACUGAGGAGGUGAUGAGGGAGUAGAUGCUGCCGAUGAAAAAGUAGAAGCAGGAAGUUUGAAACUUUCCAUAUCUGUGGAACUGAUUCUUGUCACCCUAAUGUCAAAGAUACUGUGAGAGUAUGUCCUGAAGCCGGUGUUAAGGUAAUGUAUAUGUGUCAAUAUUUGAUCAGUUAGAUAUCUUAAUAUUUAUAUCAAAAUUCCUCUCUCUGUUUGAUCAUGUUGUUACGGAUUCGAGGCUGAAUUUUAUCAUCCAUUAAGUAACCUAAUCUAUUUCGUGUUCCAGGUAUAUGUUCGAUAAUGGCUGCUAAACUAAGGCACUAUCCAUCUUAGAAUAGUUGGUGACCACCGGUUUUGUGAAAAAUGUUUUCUCUAGAAACGAGUACAAUGUUGUUCCUGAAUCAUCAUUUGUAGAAGAAUAUGACGUUGUUGUGAGUGAUGAUGUGAUGGAACCAAGUUUGCAUAAGUAUGUUACUGUUAAGAGAGGUGGUUCAUUUUCACUUUGUGAGGAUCAAGAGU
Molecule: long non-coding RNA, 1078 nt
Organism: Vicia villosa (hairy vetch)
Lineage: Eukaryota; Viridiplantae; Streptophyta; Magnoliopsida; Fabales; Fabaceae
Exons: 5
Source: RefSeq, a predicted model, not a curated record